UACGAAGGGGGCAAGCGUUGUUCGGAAUUACUGGGCGUAAAGAGCGCGUAGGCGGACCAGAUAGUCAGGGGUGAAAUCCCGGGGCUCAACCCCGGAACUGCCUUUGAUACUGCUGGUCUAGAGUCCGUGAGGGGAUGGUGGAAUACCCAGUGUAGAGGUGAAAUUCGUAGAUAUUGGGUGGAACACCGGUGGCGAAGGCGACCAUCUGGCACGGUACUGACGCUGAGGCGCGAAAGCGUGGGGAGCAAACAGG
Molecule: ribosomal RNA, 253 nt
Filed under: uncultured bacterium
Lineage: Bacteria
Description: partial 16S ribosomal RNA
Rfam family: Bacterial small subunit ribosomal RNA
Source: RNAcentral